Molecule: ribosomal RNA, 500 nt
Filed under: uncultured bacterium
Lineage: Bacteria
Description: partial 16S ribosomal RNA
Rfam family: Bacterial small subunit ribosomal RNA
Source: RNAcentral
AUUGAACGCUGGCGGAAUGCUUUACACAUGCAAGUCGAACGGCAGCACGGGGGCAACCCUGGUGGCGAGUGGCGAACGGGUGAGUAAUACAUCGGAACGUGCCCAGUCGUGGGGGAUAACGCAGCGAAAGCUGUGCUAAUACCGCAUACGAUCUAUGGAUGAAAGCGGGGGACCGUAAGGCCUCGCGCGAUUGGAGCGGCCGAUGGCAGAUUAGGUAGUUGGUGGGGUAAAGGCUCACCAAGCCGACGAUCUGUAGCUGGUCUGAGAGGACGACCAGCCACACUGGGACUGGGACACGGCACAGACUCCUACGGGAGGCAGCAGUGGGGAAUUUUGGACAAUGGGCGCAAGCCUGAUCCAGCCAUUCCGCGUGCAGGAUGAAGGCCCUCGGGUUGUAAACUGCUUUUGUACGGAACGAAACGGUCUGCUCUAAUACAGCGGGCUAAUGACGGUACCGUAAGAAUAAGCACCGGCUAACUACGUGCCAGCCGCCGCAGUAA